GCCAGACUCCUACGGGAGGCAGCAGUGGGGAAUAUUGCACAAUGGGGGAAACCCUGAUGCAGCGACGCCGCGUGAGUGAAGAAGUCAUUCGUGAUGUAAAGCUCUAUCAGCAGGGAAGAAAAUGACGGUACCUGACCAAGAAGCCCCGGCUAACUACGUGCCAGCAGCCGCGGUAAUACGUAGGGGGCAAGCGUUAUCCGGAUUUACUGGGUGUAAAGGGAGCGUAGACGGUUGCGCAAGUCUGGAGUGAAAGGCGGGGGCCCAACCCCCGGACUGCUCUGGAAACUGUGUAACUGGAGUGCAGGAGAGGUAAGUGGAAUUCCUAGUGUAGCGGUGAAAUGCGUAGAUAUUAGGAGGAACACCAGUGGCGAAGGCGGCCUGCUGGACGACAACUGACGGUGAGGCGCGAAAGCGUGGGGAGCAAACAGGAUUAGAUACCCGGGUA
This 445-nucleotide ribosomal RNA is filed under the name uncultured bacterium. RNAcentral describes it as "bacterial SSU rRNA". It matches the Rfam family "Bacterial small subunit ribosomal RNA", at positions 330 to 792 of the family's 1533-position model. The record is from RNAcentral.